UAUUUAUUAGAUAAAAAACCAACGCCCUUCGGGGCUCCUUGGUGAAUCAUAAUAACUUAACGAAUCGCAUGGCCUUGCGCCGGCGAUGGUUCAUUCAAAUUUCUGCCCUAUCAACUUUCGAUGGUAGGAUAGUGGCCUACCAUGGUGGCAACGGGUAACGGGGAAUUAGGGUUCGAUUCCGGAGAGGGAGCCUGAGAAACGGCUACCACAUCCAAGGAAGGCAGCAGGCGAGCAAAUUACCCAAUCCCGAUACGGGGAGGUAGUGACAAUAAAUACUGAUACGGGGCUCUUUUGGGUCUCGUAAUUGGAAUGAGAACAAUUUAAAUCCCUUAACGAGGAACAAUUGGAGGGCAAGUCUGGUGCCAGCAGCCGCGGUAAUUCCAGCUCCAAUAGCGUAUAUUAAAGUUGUUGCAGUUAAAAAGCUCGUAGUUGAACCUUGGGUCUGGCUGGCCGGUCCGCCUCACCGCGAGUACUGGUCCGGCUGGACCUUUCCUUCUGGGGAACCUCAUGGCCUUCACUGGCUGUGGGGGGAACCAGGACUUUUACUGUGAAAAAAUUAGAGUGUUCAAAGCAGGC
This 576-nucleotide ribosomal RNA is filed under the name uncultured eukaryote. RNAcentral's name for it is "SSU rRNA". It matches the Rfam family "Eukaryotic small subunit ribosomal RNA", at positions 203 to 785 of the family's 1831-position model. The record is from RNAcentral.